CGGAGGCAGCAGUAGGGAAUGUUGGACAAUGGGGGGAACCCUGAUCCAGCCAUGCCGCGUGUGUGAAGAAGGCCUUUUGGUUGUAAAGCACUUUAAGCGAGGAGGAGGCUCCCUAGACUAAUACUCUAGGAGAGUGGACGUUACUCGCAGAAUAAGCACCGGCUAACUCUGUGCCAGCAGCCGCGGUAAUACAGAGGGUGCAAGCGUUAAUCGGAUUUACUGGGCGUAAAGGGUACGUAGGUGGUCUUUUAAGUCGGAUGUGAAAUCCCUGAGCUUAACUUAGGAAUUGCAUUCGAUACUGAGAGACUAGAGUAUGGGAGAGGAUGGUAGAAUUCCAGGUGUAGCGGUGAAAUGCGUAGAGAUCUGGAGGAAUACCGAUGGCGAAGGCAGCCAUCUGGCCUAAUACUGACACUGAGGUACGAAAGCAUGGGGAGCAAACAGGAUUAGAUACCCCGGUAGU
Molecule: ribosomal RNA, 460 nt
Filed under: uncultured bacterium
Lineage: Bacteria
Description: bacterial SSU rRNA
Rfam family: Bacterial small subunit ribosomal RNA
Source: RNAcentral